RNAcentral lists this non-coding RNA (27 nucleotides) under Homo sapiens (human). The record is from RNAcentral. Lineage: Eukaryota; Metazoa; Chordata; Mammalia; Primates; Hominidae.
UCUUCAGGGAGUAGGAUGAUUUGUAAG